The submitters of this non-coding RNA (83 nucleotides) gave its source as unclassified sequences. The record is from Rfam.
ACAGUACAAACUGAACAGGCGAUGACUAGCGGUCAUUUGCCGGGCCGUGAUGGCAGCAGACGUAAAGCACCUGCGGGACAGUU